AGGGCUUCGCAAGGCGGUUUUUUAAGUUCUGAAGGUGAAAAGCCCCCGGCUUAACCGGGGAGGGUCAUUGGAAACUGGGGAACUUGAGUGCAGAAGAGGAGAGUGGAAUUCCACGUGUAGCGGUGAAAUGCGUAGAGAUGUGGAGGAACACCAGUGGCGAAGGCGACUCUCUGGUCUGUAACUGACGCUGAGGAGCGAAAGCGUGGGGAGCGAACAGGAUUAGAUACCCUGGUAGUCCACGCCGUAAACGAUGAGUGCUAAGUGUUAGGGGGUUUCCGCCCCUUAGUGCUGCAGCUAACGCAUUAAGCACUCCGCCUGGGGAGUACGGUCGCAAGACUGAAACUCAAAGGAAUUGACGGGGGCCCGCACAAGCGGUGGAGCAUGUGGUUUAAUUCGAAGCAACGCGAAGAACCUUACCAGGUCUUGACAUCCUCUGACAAUCCUAGAGAUAGGACGUCCCCUUCGGGGGCAGAGUGACAGGUGGUGCAUGGUUGUCGUCAGCUCGUGUCGUGAGAUGUUGGGUUAAGUCCCGCAACGAGCGCAACCCUUGAUCUUAGUUGCCAGCAUUCAUUUGGGCACUCUAAGGUGACUGCCGGUGACAAACCGGAGGA
This 611-nucleotide ribosomal RNA is filed under the name Bacillus mojavensis. RNAcentral describes it as "bacterial SSU rRNA". It matches the Rfam family "Bacterial small subunit ribosomal RNA", at positions 564 to 1170 of the family's 1533-position model. Lineage: Bacteria; Bacillati; Bacillota; Bacilli; Caryophanales; Bacillaceae. The record is from RNAcentral.